CCUUGAAUUUAUAAACAAGGAUAAACAUCUUUAUUGAUUGUCAAGCUGUGUGCCAUCUAGUAUGGUGGCUACUGGCUCUAUGAACUUAUUGAGCACCUUAAAUAUGGUUAGUCCUCAUUGAGAUGUGCUGUAAAUACAAAUUAUACACUAGUUUUAUUUUUUAUUUAUUUAUUUUUAUAUAUUUAUUUUUUAGUUAUAGGUGGACACAAUAUCUUUAUUUUACUUUUUGUGGUGCUGAGGAUUGAACUCAGUGUCUCAUGCAUGGUAGGCACACACUCUACCUCUGAGCCACAACUCCAGUCCCUAUACACUAGUUUUAAUACUUAGAACAAUAAAACAAAAAAUGUAAAAUAUCUUACUGUUUUUUUGUGGUACUGUGAAUUCAACCCAAGACCUUGUGCAUGCUAGACAAAGUUCUACUACUGAGCAGCCUCUCUGCUUAUGAUCACUAAUCUUUAUAUUGGUCAAAACUUUAAAUUAUAAUAUUUGGACAUGUUAGAUCACAUCAACUAUGUUCUUUUUAAAAAAAUUAGUUGUUGAUAGACUUUUAUUUUAUUUAUUUAUCUGCAGUGCUGAGAAUUAAACCCAGGGCCUCAUACAUGCUAGGCAAGCACUCUACCCCUGAGCUACAAUCCAGCCCUAACUAUGUACUUAAAUUGUUCUUACCUGUUUCUUUUUCACUUUUUAAUGUGGAUACUAAAACUUAAAACUACAUUUGUGGCGUGCAUAUUUCUAUUGUACAGGGCUGAUUUAGCCUUUGCCCAUAUAAUAUUCCACAUCCUGUCCAGAUUCAAGAUUCUAUGCCAUUAUUGUGAUUCUGUCUGUAUAAAUUUAUUUCAAUGUCAUUGCAUUCUGAUUGUUACAUCAUUUAUUUUUGAAUAAUUUAGAUGUCCAUGUCACCCAACCAGAUCCUGUGGCAGAUUCCUGAACAGAGCUUCUUCACAAAACCAUUUCUUGGCAUUGUAAUUGGUGGCAUUUUAUCCUUUGGCUGUAUUUUUAUUGAACUUUUUCAUUAUGAAAAGUAUUUGUGGCCUUCCAUGGGCAGUUUCAUUUAUGAUUCCUCUGCCAAAAUCAUUUUGAAGGCCAUUGAGUGGGUCUUCAUGUGUACUGAGCUAUUUCCUGAUUCUUGACUGCAUUCUGGUUCUGGGAACUGGCCAAUUGGGGUGUUACCAUGGAGGGAUUUUUGGAGAUGGACAAAGGCAUCAUGAAGUAAAAUGCAAUAGCCAACUGUGUGUUUUUGUAACACUUUUGUCAAACAAAACUGUCAAGUCUUCAAAAAUCAGGUUUAAUCAUGUUCAUUAAGUACUCACU
This 1311-nucleotide long non-coding RNA is filed under the name Marmota marmota marmota (Alpine marmot). Its description in RNAcentral is "lncRNA (ENSMMMG00000012867.1)". The record is from RNAcentral. Lineage: Eukaryota; Metazoa; Chordata; Mammalia; Rodentia; Sciuridae.